This 250-nucleotide ribosomal RNA is filed under the name uncultured Alphaproteobacteria bacterium. RNAcentral describes it as "partial 16S ribosomal RNA". It matches the Rfam family "Bacterial small subunit ribosomal RNA", at positions 207 to 455 of the family's 1533-position model. The record is from RNAcentral. Lineage: Bacteria; Pseudomonadati; Pseudomonadota; Alphaproteobacteria.
AUAUAUAUCGGUUAUGGAUGAGCUUGCGGGGUAUUAGGUAGUUGGUGUGGUAAUGGCGCACCAAGCCCAAGAUGCCUAGCCGGUUUGAGAGAACGAUCGGCCACACUGGGACUGAGACACGGCCCAGACGCUUACGAGCGGCAGCAGUGGGGAAUAUUGGACAAUGGGCGAAAGCCUGAUCCAGUGAUAUCGCUUUGGGGAUGACGGCGACAUACGUUGUAAACCCAAUGAAGUACGUUUAGAUUAUGAC